RNAcentral lists this long non-coding RNA (470 nucleotides) under Numida meleagris (helmeted guineafowl). Its description in RNAcentral is "lncRNA (ENSNMEG00000010383.1)". The record is from RNAcentral. Lineage: Eukaryota; Metazoa; Chordata; Aves; Galliformes; Numididae.
CUUUCUCCAUCCUUGUGUCUCUGCAGUUCAGUGACCUCAACACGGGAGGAGAAAUGUGUGUGUCCCAGAAGCCCCACAUGUUGGUCAAGCCAGCUGAGAAGGAGUUGUGCUGCACUGUGCUUGGGAAAUUCCUACAACUGGAGCACACUGUUCCUUUCCUCUCAGUUAAUAACCAAAAUCCGUUGAUGCCACUGGGAUGGAGAUGUGGUCCAUAUUACAAAUACUUGUCAUUCUUCUUCCCCUUUAAAAUUGUGAGUACUCUGGAUUGCUUUUAAUUGAAAUUCAACAUUUCUUUCUUCUUUAGAUCUUCGUGCCUGUAGCUUUAAAGAUUUAUUAAACCUUGGAGUAUUUUAAAAGUAAUUUUAAAAAUCUGUUCAACUUUAUAUAUAAUUUGAAGAGUAAUAGUAAUAUGUUAAUAAUGUCAAAAAUGAUUCCACACAGUCCGGUGCCCAGGCCUACAUUCUGAAAAC